UACAAAAACACUGGGCUGUACCCCAAACAAAAGAGCGAGGGUAAACCUUGUUGACCGACACGGGACGAUACCUGUAACGCACAAUAUAUAUAAAGCACGCAGCAUAACAGCUGCACCAUCGCAUAGGUACUCACAUCACCAUCGCAUAGGUACUCACACCACCAACACAUAGGUACUCACACCACCAACACAUAGGUACUCACACCACCAACACAUAGGUACUCACACCACCAACACAGAGGUACUCACACCACCAACACAUAGGUACUCACACCACCAACACAGAGGUACUCACACCACCAACACAUAGGUACUCACACCACCAACACAUAGGUACUCACACCACCAACACAGAGGUACUCACACCACCAACACAUAGGUACUCACACCACCAACACAUAGGUACUCACACCACCAACACAGAGGUACUCACACCACCAACACAUAGGUACUCACACCACCAACACAUAGGUACUCACACCACCAACACAUAGGUACUCACACCACCAACACAGAGGUACUCACACCACCAACACAUAGGUACUCACACCACCAACACAUAGGUACUCACACCACCAACACAUAGGUACUCACACCACCAACACAUAGGUACUCACACCACCAACACAUAGGUACUCACACCACCAACACAUAGGUACUCACACCACCAACACAUAGGUACUCACACCACCAACACAGAGGUACUCACACCACCAACACAUAGGUACUCACACCACCAACACAUAGGUACUCACACCACCAACACAGAGGUACUCACACCACCAACACAUAGGUACUCACACCACCAACACAUAGGUACUCACACCACCAACACAGAGGUACUCACACCACCAACACAUAGGUACUCACACCACCAACACAGAGGUACUCACAUCAUCAACGCAUAGGUACUCACACCACCAACACAUAGGUACUCACACCACCAACACAGAGGUACUCACAUCAUCAACGCAUAGGUACUCACACCACCAACACAUAGGUACUCACACCACCAACACAUAGGUACUCACACCACCAACACAGAGGUACUCACAUCAUCAACGCAUAGGUACUCACACCACCAACACAUAGGUACUCACACCACCAACACAGAGGUACUCACACCACCAACACAUAGGUACUCACACCACCAACACAUAGGUACUCACACCACCAACACAUAGGUACUCACAUCACCAACACAGAGGUACUCACACCACCAACACAGAGGUACUCACACCACCAACACAUAGGUACUCACACCACCAACGCAUAGGUACUCACACCACCAACACAUAGGUACUCACA
Oncorhynchus keta (chum salmon) is the source of this 1308-nucleotide long non-coding RNA. RefSeq lists it as uncharacterized. The transcript is spliced from 5 exons. The record is from RefSeq and is a predicted model, not a curated record. NCBI's taxonomy places the organism in Eukaryota, Metazoa, Chordata, Actinopteri, Salmoniformes, Salmonidae.